Molecule: long non-coding RNA, 442 nt
Organism: Lagopus leucura (white-tailed ptarmigan)
Lineage: Eukaryota; Metazoa; Chordata; Aves; Galliformes; Phasianidae
Exons: 3
Source: RefSeq, a predicted model, not a curated record
AUUCUGUUCCCACCACAUUCUCUGCAUUGCACAGUGGAAAAGCGAAGACAUUUAACUUCUGCUGUGGACUGGGAACUUCAGAUGCUAAAAAACAGAUCAAAGACUGUGCUUUGGUUUAGUCUGAGGAUGAAACAGUGGCAGCUCAACAAUGAGUUUUUGGACACUGAGUGAGAAGUCUCUGGUGUUCUGGACAGAGCUCCUCAAGAUUGGAUGAAGUUAACAGAUUUGGAGGUAGUAGUUUUAAGAGGAAUUAGGUCUUGUCAUGAGAAGAAUCACUAAGAUGGUGCAAUAAGGACUUGAUUCUGCAUCCUUGUGCAAGUACAUACCAUUGACCAAGAUCACUGGGCAGCCAAUCUUAAUGACAUCUCAGAAGAGUUGGAUUGUAAGGACUUGGAGCCACAAUUUUUACUAAAUGACUCUUGAAAUAUAAUUUUGCAUUUUA